CAUAAAUGCACACAAUACACUUAAACUUAUUCAAUGAUUCGUUUUUACUUUUUUCAAGGUGAGCAUAAAAACAAAUUGAAUUUAUACUGCUUUUUAAUGGAACAUCUCUUAUGCUAAGGAAAGAUGGAUGCACAGUAAUAAAAUGGAAUAUAAAAUGUGGUUUUGGCAAUAAUAUUUAAGGAAACAAGUAUGUGACCUGAAUAUCAUAGGUGGGCUGUUUUCUGAAUGAGAAUUAGUUUGUGCAUUUGGCCUCAAAGUAAAUGUUAACUCUUUCAACUCAUAGAUGAAAUCAUUUUUUUCAUAGAACAGACAUUUUUUGGUUUCCCACUUUAGGUUAUGCAUUAUUCUGAAUACAUAAAAGCUAAUAAUUUACCCACUGGGAGAAUGCAUAUGAAAUAGACAGGAGAACAAAUUAAACAAUAAUGAUAAUAUAUGCUCAUGUGUUGUUAGAGAAAAAUUCUCAAAAUAUCCCUUAAGUGUCUUGAAAGUGGACAGUCUAUUAUCUUUUGUGGUAUAGUUAUAACUAAAAUUAUUGUACAACAGAAAGAGGAAUCUUUUUUAGGACAAAUGGAAGAAUCAGUUUUGCAACAUCUAUGGGAAAACUGUCAGCUCACAUAGAAA
This 621-nucleotide long non-coding RNA is filed under the name Homo sapiens (human). RNAcentral's name for it is "HSALNT0128308". Lineage: Eukaryota; Metazoa; Chordata; Mammalia; Primates; Hominidae. The record is from RNAcentral.